RNAcentral lists this ribosomal RNA (253 nucleotides) under uncultured bacterium. RNAcentral's name for it is "partial 16S ribosomal RNA". It matches the Rfam family "Bacterial small subunit ribosomal RNA", at positions 524 to 776 of the family's 1533-position model. The record is from RNAcentral.
UACGUAGGUGGCAAGCGUUGUCCGGAUUUAUUGGGUUUAAAGGGUGCGUAGGCGGCUUUGUAAGUCAGUGGUGAAAUAUGGCAGCUCAACUGUCAAGGUGCCAUUGAUACUGCGGAGCUUGAGUACAGAUGAGGUAGGCUGAAUUGACGGUGUAGCGGUGAAAUGCUUAGAUAUCGUCAAGAACACCUAUAGCGAAGGCAGCUUACUAGGCUGUAACUGACGCUGAGGCACGAAAGUGUGGGGAUCAAACAGG